UUGAACGCUGGCGGCAUGGCUAAAACAUGCAAGUCGAACGAUUAAGCCCCUUCGGGGGUGUAUAAAGUGGCGAACGGGCGAGUAAUGCGUUUCUAACGUGCCCCGAGGUCGGGGAUAGCUGGGGGAAACCCCAGGUAAUACCCGAUGACCCCAUCGGAUCGCAUGGUCUGAUGGGCAAAGGCUUGCUGCCUCGGGAUCGGGAAACGUCCUAUCAGGUUGUUGGUGAGGUAACGGCUCACCAAGCCAGAGACGGGUAGCGGGUGUGAGAGCACGACCCGCCGCAUCGGGACUGAGACACUGCCCGGACUCCUACGGGAGGCUGCAGUAACGGAUAUUGGGCAAUGAGCGCAAGCUUGACCCAGCAAUGCCGCGUGCAGGAUGAAGCCCCUCGGGGUGUAAACUGCUGUCAGGGUUUAGGAAGCAAGUGACCAAACCCAAAGGAAGGGCCGGCUAACUUCGUGCCAGCAGCCGCGGUAAUACGAAGGGCCCGAGCGUUAAUCGGAAUCACUGAGCUUAAAGGGUGCGUAGGCGGAAACGUCAGUGUCUUGUGAAAUCCCACGGCUCAACCGUGGAACUGCAGGGCAUACUGCGUUUCUUGAGGCCGGUAGAGGUCGUCGGAACUCUAGGUGUAGCGGUGAAAUGCGUAGAUAUCUAGAGGAACGCCAAAGGUGAAGACAGGCGACUGGGCCGGUUCUGACGCUGAGGCACGAAAGCGUGGGGAGCAAACAGGAUUAGAUACCCUGGUAGUCCACGCCGUAAACGUUGUGCACUAGAUCCGGGAGGUUUUGACGCCGUCCGGGUCGAAG
This 806-nucleotide ribosomal RNA is filed under the name uncultured organism. Its description in RNAcentral is "bacterial SSU rRNA". It matches the Rfam family "Bacterial small subunit ribosomal RNA", at positions 29 to 851 of the family's 1533-position model. The record is from RNAcentral.